Long non-coding RNA from Molossus molossus (Pallas's mastiff bat), 1080 nucleotides. RefSeq lists it as uncharacterized. The transcript is spliced from 3 exons. NCBI's taxonomy places the organism in Eukaryota, Metazoa, Chordata, Mammalia, Chiroptera, Molossidae. The record is from RefSeq and is a predicted model, not a curated record.
AAUUCCAGAAGUGGUGUGUGUAUAGAAACUGGAGGUUGAAAGAGAAGACAGCUCAGGAUCUCUCUGCUGUUCUGCCUCCCAGGCCACUGCUCACUCUGAGUGGCUUCUCCCUUCCUUAGAACAACCACAGCCUCCAUCUCACAGUUCCCUCUGCUCCAUCAUCUGUACAUACACGCUCUCACUCCCAAUAGCCAUGCGUGGUGGGAACAAUGAUCAAGUCCAUGGUCCAGAUAAGAAAGCAGAGGUGAGGCAAUGCAUCGGUUGUCCGAAGUUACAUGGACAGUGAGUGAAGGAGCAAGAUCCACACUCAAGUCUCUGUGGCUCCUUUACCAAUGUUCCGCCCACCCCUCAGAGAACAACAAAAAAAACCCAACCAUUUUUAUUAGUGUAAUUUAGUGCUUUCUGUGUCUCUGGAUUUGUCUUUUUCAUGUAUUUCCUAUGAUGGAAUCACAUAGUAUGUGGUCUUUGGGAAUGCCUUCUUUCACUCAGCGUGCUAUUUUCAAGAUUCAUCUACGUUGUAGACUGUAGUGCCCAGCCAUGGUCCUGCUGCCUCCUAACCUUAUGGUCUUUCCCUUUCCUUUUCAAUAUUAAAGAGUCUCCUCAGACCAUGGCCUCCUGAUUGGUGUGAUUAUAAACUAGUGCUUUGGACUCCCUGAUAUACCUCUUCAAGUCCACUGAGACUCAAAUAAACAUCCAAACCCUGACACCUCCGGGUCAGGUGGUGACCCAUGCCACUUUACAUGUGACCCAUUUAUUGUCAGGUCACUAGGAAUCUUUCUGGAAGGUGAAUACUUCGACUUCAGCUCAAUGCCAGCUCCAUGAAGGCAAAACCAUUGUCUUGUUCAUCACUGUUCUCUCAGCACAUAGAGUGUGUGGCAUAUAACAGGACUUUUACCUCAAUGAAAACAGUGCCCGUCAUGUAGUAAGCACCUUUAAUUCCUAUGAAUUUUAACUCCUGGCACCAUGUUAUAGGACAGUAUUGGUUAAUAUUUGGAAUUCAAGUGACAAAAGUCCAAACUGAGCUGAUGUAGGAGAUAUAUUGGCAAAAAUAUUCCUACGAGAGAUGUCUGAAAUUUUGCU